RNAcentral lists this ribosomal RNA (448 nucleotides) under uncultured bacterium. Its description in RNAcentral is "bacterial SSU rRNA". It matches the Rfam family "Bacterial small subunit ribosomal RNA", at positions 12 to 507 of the family's 1533-position model. The record is from RNAcentral.
UUUGAUCAUGGCUCAGAACGAACGCUGGCGGCAGGCCUAACACAUGCAAGUCGAGCGAACCCUUCGGGGUUAGCGGCGGACGGGUUAGUAACGCGUGGGAAUAUACCCUUUGGUACGGAAUAGCCUCGGGAAACUGAGAGUAAUACCGUAUGUGCCCUUCGGGGAAAGAUUUAUCGCCAAAGGAUUAGCCCGCGUUGGAUUAGAUAGUUGGUGGGGUAAUGGCCUACCAAGUCUACGAUCCAUAGCUGGUUUGAGAGGAUGAUCAGCAACACUGGGACUGAGACACGGCCCAGACUCCUACGGGAGGCAGCAGUGGGGAAUCUUAGACAAUGGGCGCAAGCCUGAUCUAGCCAUGCCGCGUGGACGAUGAAGGCCUUAGGGUUGUAAAGUCCUUUCAGAUGGGAAGAUAAUGACGGUACCAUCAGAAGAAGCCCCGGCUAACUCCGUG